CACCGCCCGUCACAUCAUGAAAGCCGGUUGUACCCGAAGUCCAUGUGUUAACCUGCAAAGGGGACAGUGGCCGAAGGUAUGGCUGGUGAUUGGGAUG
This 97-nucleotide ribosomal RNA is filed under the name uncultured bacterium. RNAcentral describes it as "partial 16S ribosomal RNA". It matches the Rfam family "Bacterial small subunit ribosomal RNA", at positions 1388 to 1482 of the family's 1533-position model. The record is from RNAcentral.